This 626-nucleotide ribosomal RNA is filed under the name uncultured fungus. RNAcentral describes it as "eukaryotic LSU rRNA". It matches the Rfam family "Eukaryotic large subunit ribosomal RNA", at positions 24 to 664 of the family's 3401-position model. Lineage: Eukaryota; Fungi. The record is from RNAcentral.
CCCGCUGAACUUAAGCAUAUCAAUAAGCGGAGGAAAAGAAACCAACAGGGAUUGCCUCAGUAACGGCGAGUGAAGCGGCAACAGCUCAAAUUUGAAAUCUGGCUCUUUUAGAGUCCGAGUUGUAAUUUGUAGCAGAUGCUUUGGGUGUAGCUCCGGUCUAAGUUCCUUGGAACAGGACGUCAUAGAGGGUGAGAAUCCCGUACGUGACUGGGUGCUUUCGCUCGUGUAAAGCUCUUUCGACGAGUCGAGUUGUUUGGGAAUGCAGCUCAAAAUGGGUGGUAAAUUUCAUCUAAAGCUAAAUAUUGGCCAGAGACCGAUAGCGCACAAGUAGAGUGAUCGAAAGAUGAAAAGCACUUUGGAAAGAGAGUUAAACAGUACGUGAAAUUGUUGAAAGGGAAGCGCUUGCAAUCAGACUUGCGCGCUGUGGAUCAUCCGAGCUUUUGCCCGGUGCACUCCGUUGCGUUCAGGCCAGCAUCGGUUUUGGUGGGCGGAUAAAGGCCUUGGGAAUGUAUCUUCUUUCGGGGAGUGUUAUAGCCCUCGGUGCAAUGCGCCCUACCCGGACCGAGGACCGCGCUUCGGCUAGGAUGCUGGCGUAAUGGUUGUAAGCGACCCGUCUUGAAACACGG